Cyclopterus lumpus (lumpfish) is the source of this 650-nucleotide long non-coding RNA. RefSeq lists it as uncharacterized. The transcript is spliced from 3 exons. The record is from RefSeq and is a predicted model, not a curated record. NCBI's taxonomy places the organism in Eukaryota, Metazoa, Chordata, Actinopteri, Perciformes, Cyclopteridae.
AACUUCCUGUUUUUUGUCUCACAGUGCUGACAGUUGCCUUGCAUAGAAAAGCUUAACAAAUGAGUAACACAUGGAGUCAACAAAAGUCUUAUCAAGGACAUCUAAACUUUGACAAGUUCAGAUAUUAUACACAGACCGACAGUACUGUGACGACUGGAACAACACCAGGAACCUGGCAGAGUUACUUGUGGCCGACCAUCCUGGAAAAGAAAUCACACCUGCCUAAGUAGAUUGGCCUGGCCAAUUGGACUGUGCCAUUCUACAACAGCCAGAGGGGUGUCCUCAGGAGCCACUAAAUCUGCACCACAGAGGAGAAGGUCUUUUCUCCCCUCCAAUCAACUAUGGACUGGCCAGCAUAUAUAUCCUGCAGUUAGAAGACGGAGGAGAGUGUCUCUUGUUCAGUAGAGCCCCCUCACUAUGUUGUUUAGGCCCAAGUUCGAGUUAGUAAGUUUUUUUUAGACUUUAGAGCAAUUGUGUUAAAUAUGUUUAGUUAUUUUAAUUUGUCACUUUGGUUUGAUUUUGUUCACCAUCUUAAUUAUUCUAAAUACCAUCAUAUGAAAUCCCUAUUUCUCCCCACCUUUACUUGCUCUAUGCGUACUGUGAUGGCAGAUGUGCUCAGACAAUCGGGAAUGAAGAAUUAAGUCUCUGAA